AGAUGUGAGGGCAAUCUGGCUGAGACAUCUGUCAUUCCAUUGAUCGCCAGGGUUGAUUUGAUUGAUCUGGCUGGCUAAGUGGGUGUCCCCUUCCUUCCUCACCUCUCUGUGUGUUCCCCCCUGAAGCUGCACACUUGGUCAAAGAGGAUAACCUUCCCCAUAGAGGAGGACCAUUCUUAGGUCGAGGGUGUCUGGGUAGUUGCACUCCCCUGCUAGAAUCUCCAAACAAGCUCUCAAGGUCCAUUUGUAGAAGAACGUAUGGUAAUCAAGCUUCCAAGACUCCAGACAUAUCCAAACGAGGUGCUACAUGUGACAGUCUGCCUUUCUUU
RNAcentral lists this small nuclear RNA (329 nucleotides) under Felis catus (domestic cat). RNAcentral describes it as "7SK RNA". It matches the Rfam family "7SK RNA". From Rfam's summary of the family: 7SK was discovered as an abundant small nuclear RNA in the mid-70s but a possible function has only recently been suggested. The record is from Rfam by way of RNAcentral. Lineage: Eukaryota; Metazoa; Chordata; Mammalia; Carnivora; Felidae.